AGAAAACUGCAAGCUGAAGUGAAUUCUGACUAGCUCAGGGACUUCUAGUCUUGGAAAGAAAACGGAGAGGAGUUUUUCCUGGAUAGCAGAGGGAAUCUGAAGCCACAAGUGGGAAAAGAGCCAGACUUUCCUAUUUGUUCGUGUACCUGCUACCAUUAAGAAGUCCUUCCACAACCUUUUCUUCACUUAACAACAAUUAUCCAAGACUCAAAAAGAAGAAAACUCAACAUCAUAGCCAUAAAAUCUGGACCCUGAGGCAAACAUUUUGAUCAAUGGUCAGAUAAGAGAGGAAAGUAGGAUGAGGAUUUAACUGAAGUGGAUAUUAUCAGUAAAUGGAAUGUUACAGAAAGGUUGACAUCACUUGCAGACACCAUGCCGGCCUGAAGUCAGAAGUACAAAGAACGAAACUGUCUCUACUUUCAAGGAUGUUAUAUUAUGAUGGAGGGCAUACAUUUCUCGACAUAGGAGCUUAA
Molecule: long non-coding RNA, 473 nt
Filed under: Monodelphis domestica (gray short-tailed opossum)
Lineage: Eukaryota; Metazoa; Chordata; Mammalia; Didelphimorphia; Didelphidae
Description: lncRNA (ENSMODG00000046639.1)
Source: RNAcentral